RNAcentral lists this ribosomal RNA (400 nucleotides) under phytoplankton environmental sample. Its description in RNAcentral is "partial small subunit ribosomal RNA". It matches the Rfam family "Eukaryotic small subunit ribosomal RNA", at positions 587 to 991 of the family's 1831-position model. The record is from RNAcentral.
AGCUCCAAUAGCGUAUAUUAAAGUUGUUGCGGUUAAAAAGCUCGUAGUUGGAUUUUGGAGGUGUGAACUUUGGUCGGGCUCUGCCUUGAACUGGAGGUCCGCUUCUUCUGUCUGGGGAGUGCUUGUUCCUUCUUAAUUGGAGGGCUUGUGCGACCCAGGACUUUUACUUUGAACAAAUUAGAGUGCUCAAAGCAGGCCUACGCAUUGAAUACAUUAGCAUGGAAUAACGUAUAGGACUCUGGCCCUAUUUUGUUGGUUUUAAGGACCCGAGUAAUGAUUAAUAGGGAUAGUUGGGGGCAUUAGUAUUUAAUUGUCAGAGGUGAAAUUCUUAGAUUUAUGAAAGACUAACUUCUGCGAAAGCAUUUGCCAAGGAUGUUUUCAUUAAUCAAGAACGAAAGUA